This 1385-nucleotide ribosomal RNA is filed under the name Salmonella enterica. RNAcentral describes it as "partial 23S ribosomal RNA". It matches the Rfam family "Bacterial large subunit ribosomal RNA", at positions 1434 to 2802 of the family's 2925-position model. Lineage: Bacteria; Pseudomonadati; Pseudomonadota; Gammaproteobacteria; Enterobacterales; Enterobacteriaceae. The record is from RNAcentral.
UAUUCCCGUACUUGGUGUUACUGCGAAGGGGGGACGGAGAAGGCUAUGUUGGCCGGGCGACGGUUGUCCCGGUUUAAGCGUGUAGGUGUGUGUUCCAGGUAAAUCCGGUUCACUUUAACACUGAGGCGUGACGACGAGGCACUACGGUGCUGAAGCAACAAAUGCCCUGCUUCCAGGAAAAGCCUCUAAGCAUCAGGUAACAUCAAAUCGUACCCCAAACCGACACAGGUGGUCAGGUAGAGAAUACCAAGGCGCUUGAGAGAACUCGGGUGAAGGAACUAGGCAAAAUGGUGCCGUAACUUCGGGAGAAGGCACGCUGACACGUAGGUGAAGUGAUUUACUCAUGGAGCUGAAGUCAGUCGAAGAUACCAGCUGGCUGCAACUGUUUAUUAAAAACACAGCACUGUGCAAACACGAAAGUGGACGUAUACGGUGUGACGCCUGCCCGGUGCCGGAAGGUUAAUUGAUGGGGUCAGCGCAAGCGAAGCUCCUGAUCGAAGCCCCGGUAAACGGCGGCCGUAACUAUAACGGUCCUAAGGUAGCGAAAUUCCUUGUCGGGUAAGUUCCGACCUGCACGAAUGGCGUAAUGAUGGCCAGGCUGUCUCCACCCGAGACUCAGUGAAAUUGAACUCGCUGUGAAGAUGCAGUGUACCCGCGGCAAGACGGAAAGACCCCGUGAACCUUUACUAUAGCUUGACACUGAACAUUGAGCCUUGAUGUGUAGGAUAGGUGGGAGGCUUUGAAGUGUGGACGCCAGUCUGCAUGGAGCCGACCUUGAAAUACCACCCUUUAAUGUUUGAUGUUCUAACGUGGACCCGUAAUCCGGGUUGCGGACAGUGUCUGGUGGGUAGUUUGACUGGGGCGGUCUCCUCCUAAAGAGUAACGGAGGAGCACGAAGGUUGGCUAAUCCUGGUCGGACAUCAGGAGGUUAGUGCAAUGGCAUAAGCCAGCUUGACUGCGAGCGUGACGGCGCGAGCAGGUGCGAAAGCAGGUCAUAGUGAUCCGGUGGUUCUGAAUGGAAGGGCCAUCGCUCAACGGAUAAAAGGUACUCCGGGGAUAACAGGCUGAUACCGCCCAAGAGUUCAUAUCGACGGCGGUGUUUGGCACCUCGAUGUCGGCUCAUCACAUCCUGGGGCUGAAGUAGGUCCCAAGGGUAUGGCUGUUCGCCAUUUAAAGUGGUACGCGAGCUGGGUUUAGAACGUCGUGAGACAGUUCGGUCCCUAUCUGCCGUGGGCGCUGGAGAACUGAGGGGGGCUGCUCCUAGUACGAGAGGACCGGAGUGGACGCAUCACUGGUGUUCGGGUUGUCAUGCCAAUGGCACUGCCCGGUAGCUAAAUGCGGAAGAGAUAAGUGCUGAAAGCAUCUAAGCACGAAACUUGCCCCGA